RNAcentral lists this ribosomal RNA (337 nucleotides) under Acanthamoeba sp. CDC # V087. RNAcentral describes it as "SSU rRNA". It matches the Rfam family "Eukaryotic small subunit ribosomal RNA", at positions 859 to 1106 of the family's 1831-position model. Lineage: Eukaryota; Discosea; Longamoebia; Acanthamoebidae. The record is from RNAcentral.
AGGGUAAUGAUUAAUAGGGAUAGUUGGGGGCAUUAAUAUUUAAUUGUCAGAGGUGAAACUCUUGGAUUUAUGAAAGAUUAACUUCUGCGAAAGCAUCUGCCAAGGAUGUUUUCAUUAAUCAAGAACGAAAGUUAGGGGAUCUAAGACGAUCAGAUACCGUCGUAGUCUUAACCAUAAACGAUGCCGACCAGCGAUUAGGAGACGUUGAAUACAAAACACCAUCCAUUUAGCACGGUCGUUUUCAAAUAUUCCUUUUUGCGAAGGUUGUUUGGGAACGAUUCGUCCUGAUGGAUCUGGUGAAUGACUCCCCUAGCAGCUUGUGAGAAAGGCCCAGAUC